CUGGGCGCAGCCUGAUCCAGCCAUGCCGCGUGCAGGAUGACGGUCCUAUGGAUUGUAAACUGCUUUUAUACAGGAAGAAACACUGGUUCGUGAACCAGCUUGACGGUACUGUAAGAAUAAGGAUCGGCUAACUCCGUGCCAGCAGCCGCGGUAAUACGGAGGAUCCAAGCGUUAUCCGGAAUCAUUGGGUUUAAAGGGUCCGUAGGCGGUUUAAUAAGUCAGUGGUGAAAGCCCAUCGCUCAACGGUGGAACGGCCAUUGAUACUGUUAAACUUGAAUUAUUAGGAAGUAACUAGAAUAUGUAGUGUAGCGGUGAAAUGCUUAGAGAUUACAUGGAAUACCAAUUGCGAAGGCAGGUUACUACUAAUGGAUUGACGCUGAUGGACGAAAGCGUGGGUAGCGAACAGGAUUAGAUACCCUGGUAGUCCACGCCGUAAACGAUGGAUACUAGCUGUUGGAAGCAAUUUCAGUGGCUAAGCGAAAGUGAUAAGUAUCCCACCUGGGGAGUACGUUCGCAAGAAUGAAACUCAAAGGAAUUGACGGGGGCCCGCACAAGCGGUGGAGCAUGUGGUUUAAUUCGAUGAUACGCGAGGAACCUUACCAAGGCUUAAAUGUAGUUUGACCGAUUUGGGGYCAGAUCUUUCGCAAGACAAAUUACAAGGUGCUGCAUGGUSGUCGUCAGCUCGUGCCGGCAG
Molecule: ribosomal RNA, 694 nt
Filed under: Flavobacterium sp. P545
Lineage: Bacteria; Pseudomonadati; Bacteroidota; Flavobacteriia; Flavobacteriales; Flavobacteriaceae
Description: bacterial SSU rRNA
Rfam family: Bacterial small subunit ribosomal RNA
Source: RNAcentral